Molecule: ribosomal RNA, 520 nt
Filed under: uncultured Glomus
Lineage: Eukaryota; Fungi; Glomeromycota; Glomeromycetes; Glomerales; Glomeraceae
Description: SSU rRNA
Rfam family: Eukaryotic small subunit ribosomal RNA
Source: RNAcentral
AGCAGCCGCGGUAAUUCCAGCUCCAAUAGCGUAUAUUAAAGUUGUUGCAGUUAAAAAGCUCGUAGUUGAAUUUCGGGGUUAGUACGCUGGUCGUGCCUUCGGUAUGUACUGGUGUUUCUGAUUCCUACCUUCUGAAGAACCGUCAUGUCAUUAAUUUGGUGUGGCGGGGAAUCUGGACUGUUACUUUGAAAAAAUUAGAGUAGUUUAAAGCAAGCUAACGCUUGAAUACAUUAGCAUGGAAUAAUGGAAUAGGACGUUCGAUCCUAUUUUGUUGGUUUCUAGGAUUGACGUAAUGAUUAAUAGGGAUAGUUGGGGGCAUUAGUAUUCAAUUGUCAGAGGUGAAAUUCUUGGAUUUAUUGAAGACUAACUACUGCGAAAGCAUUUGCCAAGGAUGUUUUCAUUAAUCAAGAACGAAAGUUAAGGGAUCGAAGACGAUCAGAUACCGUCGUAGUCUUAACCAUAAACUAUGCCGACUAGGGAUCGGAUGAUGUUAAUUUUUAAUGAACUUCAUUCGGCGCCU